This 301-nucleotide ribosomal RNA is filed under the name uncultured bacterium. RNAcentral describes it as "partial 16S ribosomal RNA". It matches the Rfam family "Bacterial small subunit ribosomal RNA", at positions 509 to 807 of the family's 1533-position model. The record is from RNAcentral.
CAGCAGCCGCGGGAAUACGUAGGUGGCAAGCGUUAUCCGGAAUUAUUGGGCGUAAAGCGCGCGUAGGCGGUUUUUUAAGUCUGAUGUGAAAGCCCACGGCUCAACCGUGGAGGGUCAUUGGAAACUGGAAAACUUGAGUGCAGAAGAGGAAAGUGGAAUUCCAUGUGUAGCGGUGAAAUGCGCAGAGAUAUGGAGGAACACCAGUGGCGAAGGCGACUUUCUGGUCUGUAACUGACGCUGAUGUGCGAAAGCGUGGGGAUCAAACAGGAUUAGAUACCCGAGUAGUCCCUGUCUCUUAUAC